This 322-nucleotide ribosomal RNA is filed under the name uncultured eukaryote. Its description in RNAcentral is "partial 18S ribosomal RNA". It matches the Rfam family "Eukaryotic small subunit ribosomal RNA", at positions 1470 to 1796 of the family's 1831-position model. The record is from RNAcentral.
CCCUUAGAUGUUCUGGGCGGCCCGCGCACUACAAUGGCGUGUGCAGCGAGUGCCGAAGUAGAGUUUUCCGAGGUAUUCUUGCAAUGCUCGUUUUGAUGGGGAUAGACCCUUGCAACUGUUGGUUUUGAACGAGGAAUUCCUUGUAAGCAUGGUUUAUCAUCCGACGCUGAAUGCGUCCCUGCCCUUUGUACACACCGCCCGUCGCACCAACCGAUUGGAUGUUUUGUUGAAAUAUGUGGAUGCUUGUUGGGUGAAUUCAUUUUUGCUUGAUAGACAGAAACGUAUUAAAACUGAAUAUCUAGAGGAUGGUGAAGUCGUAACA